GGUGCACCCCCCACUAAGAAAAAUCCUGGAUCCGCCCCUGCGACACAGGACCAAUGCAUACAUGUAGACAUUUAUUGUGAUUUUAAAAGUUCUCGAUCGGAGGAAACAAAUAACAAGUGAAAGGGGAUAAAAGUAGUAGGAGUGAUGCAGCUAAGCAUUAAUGAUGGCUUUGUAAAUUGCAGGUCGGUGUCUUUUAUCUUUGCAACUGGUGGCAUGGCAUUUCUACUCCUUUCAUUCUGUUACUUGGUGAUAGAUGUGUUGGGCUGGUGGAAUGGAGCGCCAUUUUGUUACCCAGGAAUGAAUUCUAUUUUAGUUUACGUUGGAAGUGAAAUAUUAGGGAAUUACUUUCCAUUCAGCUGGACAGUUAGCGGUCACAUGCAACAUGCUGAUCUACUGGCAAUGAACUUGGUUGGAACUACAGUCUGGCUCGUCAUCUCUUACUACCUUUAUUGUAUCAAGUUCUUCGUGAAAAUAUAGAUUAUUGUAGCAAUAACUAAGGGAAAUUACUGAAGAGACUGCGGAUAAUAUCUGGUUGAAGUGGCUCUCUAAUAACUGUCCAGAGCCAAAGUUAUAACACAACGCAUUUUUACAGCCAAUCAAAAUUCAAAUCAAUUCAUAUUAUCUGUGACAAGCGCGGGAAAAUGUGUAGCGUGUGGAAAGCGCGGGAAAAUAUGUAGCGUGUGGCAAGCGCGGGAAAAUACGUAGCCUAUGGCAGGCGCGGGAAAGUGGUUUUUGGUUUUGCAUCUGAUUGGCUUUGACCUUUUGUAAGCCGUUUUAUGAGAGGAAUUUAAAGGCUUAGUAGACACAAAACCGAAGUCAGUGGGAAAAAAAAAAAUACUAUCGAAGAAAAUGAAAAUAGGCAGUUGCAAUGUGACUACUCCAACCAAGGCCACCCGAGCAAACUCUUUGCAAAUUGACCAAUAAAGUGUUAAAGCAAUAAGAAUGCAUGGUCACAAUCGUUUUUUGUUCGGUAGUGUCUACCUUACUCAUAGCGAGAAUUUGUCGGAAUGCUUUUGUUAACAUCCAAGGUUUUCAUUCAGCAAUUUGAGCGUAACCCUUGGGUGGAAUAGUCGCACUGGGAUAGUAUUUGAACUGAAGAUAUUCAUAAAUUUGUUCUCGCUUCAUUUCUUUAUAGAUUUCGUAACAUAAUGCCAGGCCAUAUCACUUUUUGGUUUGGUUUAAUAUGAUAAAGAAAUACAAUUAUUUUUUGAGAAUAAAUUAUGGUUUCUCUUUAGCCUAAUAGUAGUGAAUCGCAAGUAUUGGCAAAGAUUGACUCAGGGAUAGGAGUUAUUCUUUAGGAAAUUAAAAGACCAAAUUUUAGUCGUAUAUCCGAGGAGGAUUUUCAGAAAUAAUACUUCAGGUAAACAUUUUGUAGUUCCUGUUUUUGAAGGAAAUGUAUAUAGAUAAUUAAACGUUUCUCAGAAUGGAAGUGUAUGCCAAGUAUGUUCGAUUUAAAGUUGGCUACAUGUGUGCCAAAGUAGUGGAGAAUAAAUGUUCUCUGAACUGAA
Long non-coding RNA from Orbicella faveolata, 1508 nucleotides. NCBI's taxonomy places the organism in Eukaryota, Metazoa, Cnidaria, Anthozoa, Scleractinia, Merulinidae. The record is from RefSeq and is a predicted model, not a curated record.